RNAcentral lists this long non-coding RNA (1068 nucleotides) under Brassica napus (rape). Its description in RNAcentral is "long non-coding RNA (BNAP_LNC020822)". Lineage: Eukaryota; Viridiplantae; Streptophyta; Magnoliopsida; Brassicales; Brassicaceae. The record is from RNAcentral.
UCCUAGUAUAUACAUAUAGGUAAAGCAAAAGUGAGAUCAGCAAAUCUUAUCAGCUUUUUUUUUUCAUAAAUAUAUGGUGCUUAUUAGAUUUGCUCUUAUAAGAUUUUAACUCUCUCUAGAAACUCUCUAACUUCUCUCUUAAAACAAAGUUCAUCCUCCUUGCCGGUGUGUGUUUUUUCCGGCGGUGGUGCGCCACCAGUGCCACCGUCGGAAUAGCUUUGGAUUUUUGUUUUGUUUUUGCGUUUUAAGUGUCUAUUUAGUUCCCUCUCCAACAUCGGUGACAAUCGUUUUGCAUCGUCUGGUUGGUUUUUGACUCUGGUGUCAUCACUUUAUACUCCAGUGAGGGCAUCCGGCUCUUGACUCUGAUUUCAACCUUUCUUCAAGGUGAAGUCGGCUUUUCCGAUUGAUUCCAAAUCAAUGGGAUGUCUCUGUUUUUAAGUCUUGGUGGUUUGGUGUUGCGGAUGAGAUCUCGACUUCGGUCGAGCGAAGCUCUCUGUUGUAAGGUGGUUCCGAUGUGUGUGAAGACCUUCUCUGGAAUUAUGGUUGUGAUAUGGAUGAGAUCUCGAUUAGGGACGAUUGACGUUCUUCGAUCGAUGGAUCUGAUGCAAAGAAGGUGUGGGCUUCACAGCUGGUGGUUUCUUUGGGUGUGGUACUGUUCCCGGUUAGGUUCCGGUGGGUUGCCGUGUUUCCGGCGACGACAUGCAAUUUGAUGAAGGCGGUGGAGACUUCCCAACACGUGACCUUUUGUCCUCGUGGUAGGGACGUGUUGUUUUCUCUUGUGCUGUGGGUUUACUUAGGCCAUUGUUGGGCUUUGUUCGUUUUUUUUGGUUUAUGUCGUAGGGUUGUAUGUUGGUUGAAUGUCUUUUAUGUGGGCUUUUUAUAUAUGUAAAAGUACUAUCAAUAAAUAUCAGUGAAAAAAAAAAGAUUUGCUCUUAUAAGGUGGACCAACAGUUUGUUAUAUUUUCUUUUUCCUUUGCCUUUUGUUACCGACACAUGUUAUUGGAGGCAUCGUAUGAUGUUGUCCACGCGCACACAAUAUAAUUAUAUAAACACUACCAAGUCAUCGGC